Molecule: ribosomal RNA, 429 nt
Filed under: Gemmatimonadota bacterium
Lineage: Bacteria; Pseudomonadati; Gemmatimonadota
Description: Gemmatimonadetes bacterium partial 16S ribosomal RNA
Rfam family: Bacterial small subunit ribosomal RNA
Source: RNAcentral
UAGGGAAUCUUCGGCAAUGGACGAAAGUCUGACCGAGCAACGCCGCGUGAGUGAAGAAGGUUUUCGGAUCGUAAAACUCUGUUGUUAGAGAAGAACAAGGACGUUAGUAACUGAACGUCCCCUGACGGUAUCUAACCAGAAAGCCACGGCUAACUACGUGCCAGCAGCCGCGGUAAUACGUAGGUGGCAAGCGUUGUCCGGAUUUAUUGGGCGUAAAGCGAGCGCAGGCGGUUUCUUAAGUCUGAUGUGAAAGCCCCCGGCUCAACCGGGGAGGGUAAUUGGAAACUGGGAGAAUUGAGUGCAGAAGAGGAGAGUGGAAUUCCAUGUGUAGCGGUGAAAUGCGUAGAUAUAUGGAGGAACACCAGUGGCGAAGGCGGCUCUCUGGUCUGUAACUGACGCUGAGGCGAGAAAGAGUGGGGAGCAAACAGG